Molecule: ribosomal RNA, 444 nt
Filed under: Myobia musculi
Lineage: Eukaryota; Metazoa; Arthropoda; Arachnida; Trombidiformes; Myobiidae
Description: partial 28S ribosomal RNA
Source: RNAcentral
CAGCCACACUUCGUGGUUCCAUCUGUUUACCUACAAACGGUUUCACGUCCUUUUGAACUCUCUCUUCAAAGUUCUUUGCAACUUUCCCUUACGGUACUUGUUUACUAUCGGAAUUACCAAAAUAUUUAGCCUUAAGAGGAGUUUACCUCUUUAUUUAGGUUGCAACUUCAAACAACCUGACUCUCAUAUAAUUAAAACUAACAGAACAUGUAUAGAAAUAUUACCGUCGGUCUUGCACCGUCUAUGGAAAAUUACCCUUGUCAGAGGGAUUUGUAAUUCUAUACUGUUAACUGUUAUAUGUUUUAAUAUUUACGCAGCACCGCCCAAAAUUAUUUAAAAAUAAUGGGCCUUUGCUAUGGACUCAUCCCUUUUCACUCGCCGUUACUAAGGGAAUCCCAUUUGGUUUCUUUUCCUCAGCUAAAUUAUAUGCUUAAAUUCAGGGGG